RNAcentral lists this ribosomal RNA (871 nucleotides) under uncultured Gammaproteobacteria bacterium. Its description in RNAcentral is "bacterial SSU rRNA". It matches the Rfam family "Bacterial small subunit ribosomal RNA", at positions 8 to 852 of the family's 1533-position model. The record is from RNAcentral. Lineage: Bacteria; Pseudomonadati; Pseudomonadota; Gammaproteobacteria.
AGAGUUUGACCUGGCUCAGAAUGAACGCUGGGGGCAGGCCUAACACAUGCAAGUCGGACGGAAACGACAAGAACAAUCACUUCGGUGUGCGUUCUUGGGCGUCGAGGGGCGAACGGGUGAGUAACGCGGGGAAAUCUACCCUUUAGUUGGGGACAACAUAUGGAAACGUAUGCUAAUACCGAAUAUGCUCUACGGAGAAAAGGUGCCCUCUCCUUGGAAGGUAUCGCUAAAGGAUGAGCCCGCGUUAGAUUAGCUAGUUGGUAAGGUAAAGGCUUACCAAGGCGACGAUCUAUAGCUGGUUUGAGAGGAUGAUCAGCCACACUGGGACUGAGACACGGCCCAGACUCCUACGGGAGGCAGCAGUGGGGAAUAUUGCACAAUGAGGGAAACCUUGAUGCAGCCAUGCCGCGUGUGUGAAGAAGGCCCGAGGGUUGUAAAGCACUUUCAAUUGUGAGGAAGAUUAAGUAGUUAAUACCUGCUUAGUUUGACGUUAACUUUAGGAGAAGCACCGGCUAACUCUGUGCCAGCAGCCGCGGUAAUACAGAGGGUGCAAGCGUUAUUCGGAAUUACUGGGCGUAAAGCGCGCGUAGGCGGACUGUUAAGUCGGUUGUGAAAGCCCUGGGCUCAACCUAGGAACUGCAUCCGAUACUGGCAAUCUAGAGUUUAAGAGAGGGAAGUGGAAUUCCAGGUGUAGCAGUGAAAUGCGUAGAUAUCUGGAGGAACAUCAGUGGCGAAGGCGACUUCCUGGGCUUAAAACUGACGCUGAGGUGCGAAAGCUUGGGUAGCGAACGGGAUUAGAUACCCCGGUAGUCCAAGCCGUAAACGAUGUCAACUAGCUGUUGGGUCUUAUUAAAAAGAUUAGUAGCGUAGC